UGAAGAAGAGAGAAAGAGAAGAAGGAAGUACCUGCAGGGUGCUGGCGACACGUGCAGUACCUGAGAGUUUUUAAGAAAUGCAAAUUCCAGCGCCUGUCCAUUGCUAUACCAUUCCACACCCGAAGCUCUGGGAUUCUGGGGCCACUUCUGCAUUUGGAAACACUUUUGUGUCUUCUAAGCUGCCGCUGGCCUCCCGCCUGGCUCCCUGCAGCCCCUUCUUCCCACGACCUGACUCAGCGUCUACAGGGGCUUGCUUUGGUAUUCAAAACCCUCAGCCCGCUUUGCCUGGCAGCGGGUGAAAUAGAUGCGGUGGAAGCUGGAGGCUGUUAGGAUUAUUGCUCCUGUUUCACAGAUAAGACUGGCAUUUGGAGAUUUCUCAAGUUUCUCGAGAGUUCCAUAGCCAAGCAACGAGAAGACCAUGCUAUGACCUCCGGUGGUCAGAAUCCAACGUGGCAGGAGCCCCAGUGACUGAGUCUGAUCCCACCUUGUGCACACAGAGGAGUUGGCUCUUCCUUGGUGCACAUUUCAUUGGCCUCCCCCUCCUCGUGUGUCUGGAGCACUUCGGGAUGGUGUCUAUGGGAAGUCCCCUCCACCCAUCACUACCUUGCUAUGUUUUGUUGUUCUGUUAUUAUGUUUGCCAAGCUGUCUCUCUUUCCCUAGGUUUGAAAAUGCAAAUAGAUGUUUCUCAUAAGAAUUGUAUCAUUUCUUUUUCUGGCGCAUUUUAGUGGAAAUCUCUGUUAUACACAAUAAAUGCUGUUCUGGGGAAAUGCCACUUCCUUUAUUAUAAACAUUACAGAAUAAUGAUAACAUAAUUGAUCACAUUUCCAGAGCACUUUACAGUUUGCACUUUACAGUUGAUCGAUUUGGUCACUUUACAGUUGAUCGAUUUGAUCGCUGGGGGAAAAGCAAGACAAGUAUUCUUAUUCCCAUUUUAUAGAAGAGGAAAUCAAAACAAAGAAUUUACCGACUUAUACAGGGGAGCUGGGAAAUUUUCUAUCUGCUAAGUUUUCUUCCUGUGAGGUCCCAUCACCCACACCACACUCUGUAAACUCAUGCUCCAAUUUCUCCAGGCCACCUACUGACUUAUCUUGUGGCACGUGGACCCCCUUAAGACAAGAAAGCGUUCUUCCCUAGACUUCUGUUCUGCGUUGUGGGAACCUCAGUCAAUUCAAGAGCGAAGUUCACGAAGAUUCAGUGAUGGGUUUGUUCCUGCUGUUCCUCCUUGGAAUGGCUGCCCCUGGGUGUCUUCAGCUUCAGGGUCACCCUGCUGCUGAGACACAGCACUGCGGAGCUCACGGGGCUCACCCCAGGCUUGUUUUGACUGUACAUGGAUGUCAUCUCGGAGCUGUGGCUACUGCGGUUUGGAUGCAAAGCUCUGAAGAUGACUGUAAACACUCUACCCCCCCGUCCCAUCGGAAAAACCCAGUCCAAGGAAAACAGCAAAAGCUCAUUGAAACUAAGACAACAGCACAAAUAUUUAUGGGGGCAGAAAUUGAAACACUAGCAAAAACAAAGAAUGCUUUUC
Mustela erminea (ermine) is the source of this 1525-nucleotide long non-coding RNA. RefSeq lists it as uncharacterized. Lineage: Eukaryota; Metazoa; Chordata; Mammalia; Carnivora; Mustelidae. The record is from RefSeq and is a predicted model, not a curated record. The transcript has 5 exons.